GCAGAAGUGCCGAGUCCCGGCCGGGGGCAGCCUCGCCGCCGCUCAGCUCGGGAAUCCCUGCCCCCCACCAGCACCUCAGUGGGGGAUACUGCAAGUUCAAGAAUUGGGGCCAGGAUCAGGUGGUGACAGAGCCACCUGGGUUUCCGGAGACUCUCAAGCCAACCCCAAGUCAUGACAAAUGCCAGUCGCCUUGGACAGAGGCAAGGGCCUGGACGCAGAGACCAGAGGCCUGAACUGGCAGACUGUCCUCACAGGCUGUGUGACGCUGGCUGGUCGUCCCAUCUCUCUGGGGCCCCACAGGACUGGGGACCAGGUCGUGGAAUGACAGUGGACCACAGUGGUCCGGGGACCCCGCUCGUUGGUGGCAGGCACAGGCCCGUGUGAUGGGGACAAUGAGCUUUGGUGGUUUAAGGCGUGAAUGAAUGAAGGAGCAAGCAGUAAGCCCCGACAGCAAGGCCACCACAGCCCUCGCCCCACAGGGACGCCUGAGCAAGGACCCAAGCAGGGGACAAGCAGGCUCACCCCGCCCUUGCGGGGCUGACCACGAGGCCCCGUCCGGUGGAACACGCCAUGACGCUUCAGGAGGCUCAUGUAGCUGGCGCCGUAUGGGACAGCGGGGGAGAGAGAAAAUGCACAGCCCAGGGAAUGUGGAGACAGGCCCAGCGCCAGGCAUGGGGGCCGGAAGGAGCAGCCGGGGAGCAGGGGGCAGGGCCUGGAGUCCCGCCUUGCAGAUCUGAACCUGCCCCAGCCCCAGGACUCUGAGUGCAGCAAGAGGG
Molecule: long non-coding RNA, 776 nt
Filed under: Homo sapiens (human)
Lineage: Eukaryota; Metazoa; Chordata; Mammalia; Primates; Hominidae
Description: non-protein coding MIR1-1HG-AS1:40
Source: RNAcentral